RNAcentral lists this ribosomal RNA (253 nucleotides) under uncultured bacterium. RNAcentral describes it as "partial 16S ribosomal RNA". It matches the Rfam family "Bacterial small subunit ribosomal RNA", at positions 524 to 776 of the family's 1533-position model. The record is from RNAcentral.
UACGUAGGGUGCGAGCGUUGUCCGGAAUUAUUGGGCGUAAAGGGCUCGUAGGCGGUUUGUCGCGUCGGGAGUGAAAACCUCGGGCUUAACUCGGGGCUUGCGGUCGAUACGGGCAGGCUCGAGUUCGGUAGGGGAGACUGGAAUUCCUGGUGUAGCGGUGAAAUGCGCAGAUAUCAGGAGGAACACCGGUGGCGAAGGCGGGUCUCUGGGCCGAUACUGACGCUGAGGAGCGAAAGCGUGGGGAGCGAACAGG